GGAGUCUAACAUGUGCGCGAGUCGUUGGGUCUCGAAACCUAAAGGCGGAAUCAAAGUGAAAGGUAAUUCGCUUACUUGAGGGAGGAUGGGAGUCGUUCCCGCGGGGCCUCCCCGCACUCCCGGGGCGUUUCUUACUCAUAGCGAGUCGGAGCGCACCCAGAGCGUACACGUUAGGACCCGAAAGAUGGUGAACUAUGCCCGGCCAGGACGAAGCCAGGGGAAACCCUGGUGGAGGUCCGUAGCGAUUCUGACGUGCAAAUCGAUCGUCGGAGCUGGGUAUAGGGGCGAAAGACUAAUCGAACCAUCUAGUAGCUGGUUCCUUCCGAAGUUUCCCUCAGGAUAGCUGGUGCCCAGGUGAGACGAGUCUCAUCCUGUAAAGCGAAUGAUUAGAGGCAUUGGGGGUCGAAACGACCUCAACCUAUUCUCAAACUUUAAAUAGAUGAGAACUCCGGCUUGCUUGAAAGUGAAGCCGGAGAUUCGGAUCAGGGUGCCCAGUGGGCCAAUUUUG
Molecule: ribosomal RNA, 508 nt
Filed under: Abedus herberti
Lineage: Eukaryota; Metazoa; Arthropoda; Insecta; Hemiptera; Belostomatidae
Description: partial large subunit ribosomal RNA
Rfam family: Eukaryotic large subunit ribosomal RNA
Source: RNAcentral